RNAcentral lists this ribosomal RNA (440 nucleotides) under uncultured bacterium. RNAcentral describes it as "partial 16S ribosomal RNA". It matches the Rfam family "Bacterial small subunit ribosomal RNA", at positions 338 to 795 of the family's 1533-position model. The record is from RNAcentral.
CCUACGGGUGGCAGCAGUGGGGAAUAUUGCACAAUGGGGGAAACCCUGAUGCAGCGACGCCGCGUGAGUGAAGAAGUCUUUCUGUAUGUAAAGCUCUAUCAGCAGGGAAGAAAAUGACGGUACCUGAGUAAGAAUCCCCGGCUAACUACGUGCCAGCCGCCGCGGUACUACGUAGGGGGCAAGCGUUAUCCGGAUUUACUGGGUGUAAAGGGAGCGUAGACGGCAGCACAAGUCUGGAGUGAAAUGCCGGGGCUUAACCCCGGAACUGCUUUGGAAACUGUGCAGCUAGAGUGCAGGAGAGGUAAGUGGAAUUCCUAGUGUAGCGGUGAAAUGCGUAGAUAUUAGGAGGAACACCAGUGGCGAAGGCGGCUUACUGGACUGUAACUGACGUUGAGGCUCGAAAGCGUGGGGAGCAAACAGGAUUAGAUACCCCAGUAGUC